Molecule: long non-coding RNA, 665 nt
Organism: Bos taurus (domestic cattle)
Lineage: Eukaryota; Metazoa; Chordata; Mammalia; Artiodactyla; Bovidae
Source: Ensembl
GACCCAUGUUGUACUCUCUCCACUGGCACCUAAUAUGUAGCAAGGCCAACAACUCCUUCUGUACUCACCACAUGAAGCAUAGACUCAAAAAUCAACACUUUGGUACAGUGUCAGGAGACCCAUACUGCAAAUUCAGCCCUGGAAGAAGCAGUAGAGAUGCCUUCUGGACAGUUUCAUCUCUUCCUUGCAAGCCUGCUAUGAAGGAGCCUCGUGAGAGAAGUCACGCGCACAUAGUGGGAGUCUCUUCCGUUUCCCAUCACGUGCUGCUCAGAGCCUUUGCGUUGAACGUUCAGCCUAUGAUCCUUCCUGUGUGCUUCCCACUCCUGUGGCUUCUUCUCCGUCAACAGAUUCCAACUUGUCAGAACUCAUAAAGUGCACAUGUCACCCUCCACAUGCUUUGUGGUACCCCUGGUCUUGGUUACACCAAUUCUGAAGUGGAGUGCCCAACACGCCUGAUUCCUUGGCUUGAAGGAAAGAACACUGAAUCAGAAGCUAGAAAGCCUGGAUUCGUGUCCCAGGCCUGUGCCACACCACCUGGUGACCUAACAGGUUGUUUUACAACCAUGUUCUACUCUUUCUCUCCCUGAGUGAUAAAUGCAUUCUGAAUUAUACACCCAUAGAAUGUGUGCUCACCUACCCUUCUCCCUAGAUAAAGACUAUUAGUC